Molecule: ribosomal RNA, 274 nt
Filed under: uncultured bacterium
Lineage: Bacteria
Description: partial 16S ribosomal RNA
Rfam family: Bacterial small subunit ribosomal RNA
Source: RNAcentral
AUACGGAGGGAGCGAGCGUUAAUCGGAAUUACUGGGCGUAAAGCGCGCGUAGGCGGUUUGUUAAGUUGGAUGUGAAAGCCCCGGGCUCAACCUGGGAACUGCAUUCAAAACUGGCAGGCUAGAGUAUGGUAGAGGUAAGUGGAAUUCCGGGUGUAGCGGUGAAAUGCGUAGAUAUCCGGAGGAACAUCAGUGGCGAAGGCGACUUGCUGGACUAAUACUGACGCUGAGGAGCGAAAGCGUGGGGAGCAAACGGGAUUAGAAACCCCGGUAGUCC